This 260-nucleotide long non-coding RNA is filed under the name Nicotiana benthamiana. RNAcentral's name for it is "long non-coding RNA (NBEN_LNC005371)". Lineage: Eukaryota; Viridiplantae; Streptophyta; Magnoliopsida; Solanales; Solanaceae. The record is from RNAcentral.
GAGUAGGAAAAGGAAAAAAUAAAAACUAAAAAGGAAAAAUUUAGUUCAAAAACAAGGAAUAAGAAAAGUAUAACUUUUCCACAAAAGUCAAAAAGCUAAUAAAACGUAAGCCUAAGUGCAAUGAGUGAGAAUCGAACCUGGGUCUUGCUUUCAGCAAAGACCUUCAUUCCAACUUCAGAACCACAGCACCCAUCAGUCGUUUUUUUUAAUGGGUGCUCACUAAAUAAUCAUAUCAUAUUGCUUAAAUUUUUGUUAUAGCU